GAACGCGAAGAACCUUACCCGGGCUUGAAUUGCAGAGGAAGGAUUUAGAGAUAAUGACGCCCUUCGGGGCCUCUGUGAAGGUGCUGCAUGGUUGUCGUCAGCUCGUGCCGUGAGGUGUCGGCUUAAGUGCCAUAACGAGCGCAACCCCUCUCUUCAGUUGCCAUCAGGUCAUGCUGGGCACUCUGGAGACACUGCCACCGUAAGGUGUGAGGAAGGUGGGGAUGACGUCAAAUCAGCACGGCCCUUACGUCCGGGGCUACACACGUGUUACAAUGGCCGGUACAGAGGGAUGGUGUAAUGCAAAUUGCAUCAAAUCUUGAAAGCCGGUCCCAGUUCGGACUGGGGUCUGCAACCCGACCCCACGAAGCUGGAUUCGCUAGUAAUCGCGCAUCAGCCAUGGCGCGGUGAAUACGUUCCCGGGUCUUGUACACACC
Molecule: ribosomal RNA, 434 nt
Filed under: uncultured bacterium
Lineage: Bacteria
Description: bacterial SSU rRNA
Rfam family: Bacterial small subunit ribosomal RNA
Source: RNAcentral